UUUGGCUCCUCUUCAGGCUGUUGACCAGGGAAUGAUGCAAUUCCUUUGGCUCAUGUUACCUGAAUCUAGAUUCCUGUAGUCAAGAAUAAAUCUAACAUCAAUAUGCUUGCAAGCUGCUGCCAUGUACCGAAUGCGUCAGGAUAAAUAUAUGACUCCUAUGAGCAUACACACCAUGCUGACAGAUGGGAUCCAGCUGUUGAUCUUGGUGAGCAGCAGGACAGACGAGACCCACAUUGGAGCAGACGCUUCUCAGUGACAUCUAGGCCUAUUGCUGCAAUCCUAAAUAAAGAAAAGGGACAGAAUAAAAUGCUUUUGGACAGAAUCAGUCAACAUCCCCUUAAAUGUGACACACCAAUACUACUGAAGGAGCAGCUGAGGAAUCUGAUGGAGGAGUGUGCGAUAUCUCAGAGCUGGGGACACAGUCUGGGUGUGAGGACAGGUGACACAUUGCCCAGGGACAACUCUUAUACAGAGAUCCUGCCAGACAGCACCCCCCGUCUCUCUGACUCUAUCCUGUCAGAGCUGCUUGGAGAUGCAAACACCACCAGUUUUAGCCAUCUGGACAAAGCGACCACUAUGUGUUCAUCAUAGAGUAUUUACACAUUUGUUUGGUGUGACAAAUAUACAAAUGUGUAUAUUUAUAUGGUUACAUGGUGUUAACAACCAGACCUGCAGUCAUGUCACCAGAAGGGCAGCAAUAUGGAUUUCCAGACAGACUCUCCCACACCAACAAACACACAAUGACUGUACGAAUCACUGAGUCUUGUAAAACUGUGUAGUGUAUAAUCAUAAGAAUCUAGAGAAAUAACCAUAUUAUACAAGUCUUUUGAUGUUUGUCUAGGCUUUAUAAAAAUGUAUUUGUACAAGCUUUCUUAAAAAGCGUGAUACAGUUAGAAAAAUCUAAAUGAAUGAAACCUGUAACUGAUUUUUACUAGUGUCAAUUGCUCGAUUGUGCCUUUGUAGAAUGAGUGCUCCCCUAGGUCUGCGUAUUCCACUUGAGUAUUUAAUUUUCACUUUCCGGUACCUCCAAAUGAGGAGUCAGAACAGUAGGAGAGCCCAUUGUAUUAACCCUGCUAAUUUCGAAGAGAACAGACCAUUUAUGGUCUCAUUAAACUUAACAACCUAUA
This is a long non-coding RNA of Coregonus clupeaformis (lake whitefish), 1127 nucleotides long. RefSeq lists it as uncharacterized. NCBI's taxonomy places the organism in Eukaryota, Metazoa, Chordata, Actinopteri, Salmoniformes, Salmonidae. The record is from RefSeq and is a predicted model, not a curated record. The transcript has 4 exons.